Molecule: long non-coding RNA, 280 nt
Filed under: Linum usitatissimum (flax)
Lineage: Eukaryota; Viridiplantae; Streptophyta; Magnoliopsida; Malpighiales; Linaceae
Description: long non-coding RNA (LUSI_LNC000790)
Source: RNAcentral
UUUUUUUAACCACUCUUUCUUCUCUGUUUCCUGACAUCACUUUUGUCUCUGUCUCCUUUUUUUUUAAUUUGUUUUUGUAUUUUCACCUUCCCUUACCUUCCAUUCAUUCUCUGUCUUUCACUGUUGUCUGUGUUUUCUUUUUACUUUCCAACUUCAAUUCUGGGUUACUUACUGCUGUGGGGUAGUAGUAGUAGGAGUAGUAGUAGUAGUAGUACUAGUCCUUUUUCUUUUGUUUUGUUGACAUCUCCACAGUGGUAGUUGAGGAUCUAUGCAUGCAUCA